UACAUACAUUGUGCUUGAGUAUGUAUAA
RNAcentral lists this non-coding RNA (28 nucleotides) under Mus musculus (house mouse). Lineage: Eukaryota; Metazoa; Chordata; Mammalia; Rodentia; Muridae. The record is from RNAcentral.